CUGCCGCCUUGCAGUUUGAUCUCAGACUGCUGCGCUAGCAAUCAGCGAGACUCCGUGGGCGUAGGACCCUCCGAGCCAGGUGCAGGAUAUAAUCUCGUAGUGCGCCGUUUUAUAAGCCCCUUGGAAAAGCGCAGUAUUCGGGUGGGAGUGACCCGAUUUUCCAGGUGCGUCCGUCACCCCUUUCUUUGACUCGGAAAGGGAACUUCCUGACCCCUUGCGCUUCCGGAGUGAGGCAAUGCCUCGCCCUGCUUCGGCUGGCGCACGGUGCACGCACCCACUGACCUGCGCCCACUGUCUGGCACUCGCUAGUGAGAUGAACCCGGUACCUCAGAUGGAAAUGCAGAAAUCACCCGUCUUCUGCGUGGCUCACGCUGGGAGCCGUAGACCGGAGCUGUUCCUAUUCGGCCAUCUUGGCUCCCGGAUCUCUGUGUAAACCUUCUUUUAUUUUUAAAAGAUAUUCACUGUCUCUUACUAAAGCUUCCUGUUCAAAGUCUGGCUGAGAAUUUUUGCUGCUUCUUUCCCUACCUCCUCAUUUCCGAAGGUUGUUUUGUUUUGAGGCCUGGUCGCAAUUGUUGAUGUCACUAUAUGUAUUUUGGAAAAAAGACACAAGCAUGCAUCUAUAGAUUUAACUUUUUUCUCGGAGGAAGAACUUACUGGCUAUGGUACUAUAUUGUGAAAGCCAAGGUUCUUCGUUAAUUUAGACAACUUAAGGGUACCCUGAGGAGAUGAGAUCAGGACCUUCAGAUUACGAGACUCACACCUUGCUGGCUGCGCUAAGGGGGCUCCUGAGGAGAUGAGAUCAAACAUAGGAAGUAAAAGGGAGUCUCCAAGAUGUCCACAUUUGAAUCUCUGGAACCUGUGAAUAUGUUACUUUAUAUGGCAAAAGGAACUUUGCAGGUGUGAGAAAAGUUGAGGACCUUGAGAUGGGGAGAUCAUCCUGGAUUAUUUGAAUAAGCCCAAAUUCAUCAAAUGAAUUCUUAAAAGAACCUUUUCUCUGAGAUGAGAGUCAGAGGGAGAUGUGGCUAUGGAAGAAUGGUCAGAGAGCAAUGCAAAGGUGCUGGCUUUGAAGAUGGAAGAAGGGGCCAUAAGCCAAGAAGUAUGGUUUGUUUCUAGGAGCUGGAAGAGGCAAGAAGACAUAUUCUCCUCUAGACCCUCCAGAAGAAAUGCAGCCUCACUGACACCUUAAUUUUAGCCCUGAAAGACCCAUUUUAGAACUCUGACCUACAGAACUGUAAGAUCGUAAGUUUGUAGUGUUGUAAGCCACUAAAUUUGUGGUAAUUUAUUAUAGCAGUAACAGAAAAUCAAUACAUGCUUUAUGCAGGUAGUACUAAAUUACAUAUUGCAGUUUUAUGUUUGUUUGAGGACAGCUCUUUCUUUAUUUUUAGAGAUAGCACCUUGCUCUGUCACCAGGCCGGAGUGCAGCAGUGUGAUGAUAGCUCACUGGAACCUCGAAUUCCUGGGCUUAAUCCAUCUUCCCACCUAUGUCUCCCACAUGCAUGUAGCUAGGACUAGAUGCAUGUGCCAGCAUACCCGGCUAAUUUUUUUUGGGUUUUUUUUUUUUUUCUAGAGAUGGGGUCUCACUAUUUUUCCCAAGCUGAUCUCAAACUCCUGUGCUCAAGCAAUCCUCCUGCGUUGGCCCUGCCAAAGUUCUCGGAUUACAGGUAUAAGCCACCACACCUGGCUGGACAGCUCUUUCAAGGACUUUCUGUUUUUAAUUUAAAAUCUAAUUUUAAUUUUAAUUUAGUUUUUAAAAUUAAAACAAUAUACUUUGAACAUCUGUGCAUCAAAAGACCCUACCAACAGAGUGAAGAGGUAAUCGAUGGCAUGGGAGAAAAUAUUUGCAGAUUAUAUAUCUUAUAAGGGAUUAAUAUCCCGAAUAAAUAAAGAACUCCUACAAAUAAUAAAAAACCAAGCAACUUGAUUAAAAAAUAGGCAAAGAAUUGGAUAGAGAUUUCUCUAAAGAAGAUAUACAAAUGGCCAAUAUACACAUAAAAAGAUGCUCAGUCACUAAUCAUUAGGGAAAGGCAAAUCAAAAUCUCAAUGCAAAUCAAAAUCACUUCAUAUGCAUUAGGAUGGCUAUUAUUAAAAAAACAGAAACUAAAACUCAGUGAGAAUGGGUAUGAAGUUACUUGAAGUUAUUCCAAUGCAUUGUUAGUGGGAAUGUAAAAUCGUGCAGCUGCUGUGGAAAACAGUAUGAUGAUUCAGCAAAAAAUUAAACAAUUACUUUAUGAUCUAGCAGUUUGACUUCUGGGUAUAUACCUAAGAGAACUGAAAGCAGAGGCACAAACAGAUAUUCGUACACUCAUGUUUAUAGCAGCAUUAUCACAAUAGCCAAAGUUGGAAAUGAACCAAAUAUACAUUGACAGAUGAAUGGUAAACAAUACGUGCUCUAUACAUACAAUGGAAUAUUAUUCAGCCUUAAAAAGGAAUGAAAUUGGCCAGGCACAGUGGCUCACGCCUGUAAUCCCAGCACUUUGGGAGGCCAAGGCAGGUGGAUCACAAGGUCAGGAGUUCAAGACCAGUCUGGCCAAGAUGGUGAAGCCUGGUCUCUACUAAAAAUAAAAAAAUUAUGUGGUGGCAGGCACCUGUAAUCCCAGCUGCUUGGGAGGCUGAGGCAGAGAAUUGCUUGAACCUGGGAGGUGGAGGUUGCAAUGAGCCGAGAUCGCACCACUGCACUCCAGCCUGGGUGACAGAGCAAGACUCUGUCUCAAAAAAAAAAAAAAAAAAAAAAAAAGAACAAAAGAAGAAAAGAAAAAGGAAUGAAACUGGGGAUCCCAGAUCGAAGAUGGCCGAGUAGGAACAGCUCCAGUCUGCAGCUCCUAGCAAGAUCAAUGCAGAAGGUGGGUGAUUUCUGCAUUUCCAACUGAGGUACACAGCUCAUCUCAUUGGCACUGGUUAGACAGUGGGUGGAGCUCAUGGAGUGCUAGCCAAAGCAGGGUGGGGCAUCAUCUCACCCAGGAAGUGCAAGGGGUUGGGGAACUCCCUCCCCUAGGCAAGGGAAGCCGUAAGGGACUGUGCCAUGAGGGAUGUAGCUGUCACACAGAUACCACGCUUUUCCCAUGGUCUUUGCAACCCACAGACCAGGAGAUUCCCUUGGGUGCCUACCCCACCAGGGCUCUGGGUUUCAAGCACAAAACUGGGCGGCUGUUUGGGCAGACACUGAGCUAGCUGCAGGAGUUUCUUUUUUUCCAUACCCCAGUGGUGCCUGGAAUGCCAGUGAGACAGAUCGUUCACUCUACUGGAAAGGGGGCUGAAGCCCAUGGAGCCCAGCAAGCUAAGAUCUGCUGGCUUGAAAUUCUCACUGCCAGCACAGUAGUCUGAAGUCGACCUGGGACACUCAAGCUUGGUUGGGGGAGGGGUGUCUGCCAUUACUGAGGCUUGAGUAGGCAGUUUUCCCUUCACCAUGUAGACAUAGCUGCCUGGAAGUUUGGACUGGGCAGAGUCCACCACAGCUUUGCAAAGCCACUGUAGCCAGACUACCUCUCUAGAUUCUUCCUCUCUGAGCAGGGCAUCUCUGAAAGAAAGGCAGCAGCCCCAGUCAGGGGCUUAUAGAUAAAACUUUCCUCUGCCUGGGAUAGAGCACCUGGGGGAAGGGGUGGCUGCGGACACAGCUUCAGCAGACUUAAAAGUUCCUGCCUGGUGACUCUGAAGUGAGCAGCAGAUCUCCCAGCACAGAGCUUGAGUUCUGCUAAGGGACAGACUGCCUCCUCAAGUGGGUCCCUGACCCCUGUGCCUCUUGACUGGGAGACACUUCCCAGCCAGGGUUGACCGACACCUCAUACAGGAGAGCUCCAGCUGGCAUUUGGCAAAUGCCCCUCUGGGACAAAACUUCCAGAGGAAGGAACAGGCAGCAGUCUGCUAUUCUGCAGCCUCCACUGGUGAUACCCCAGGCAAACCGGUUCUGGAGUGGACCUCCAGCAGACCUGCAGCAGAGGGGCCUGACUGUUAGAAGGAAAACUAACAAACAGAAAGGAAUAGCAUCAAUGUCAACAAACAGGAUGACCACACAAACCCCGUCCAAAGGUCACCAACAUCAAAGACCAAAGGUAGUUAAAUCCACAAAGAUGAGGAAAAACCAAUGCGAAAAGGCUGAAAACUCCAAAAACCAGAAGUCCUCUUCUCCUCCAAAGGAUCACAACUUCUCACCAGCAAGGGAUGGAAAAUGAGUUUGAUGAACUGACAGAAGUAGGCUUCAGAAUGUGGGUAAUAACAAAUUCCUCUGAGCUAAAGGAGCAUGUUCUAACCCAAAGCAAGGAAGCUAAGAACCUUGAAAAAAGGUUAGAGGAAUUGCUAACUAGAAUAACCAGUUUAGAGAAGAACAUAAAUGGCCUGAUGGAGCUGCAAAUCACAGCAUGAGAACUUUGUGAAGCACACACAAGUAUCAGUAGCCAAAUUGAUCAAGCAGAAGAAAGGAUGUCGGAGAUUGAAGAUCAACUUAAUGAAAUAAAGCGUGAAGACAAUAUUAGAGAAAAAAGAAUGAAAAGGAACAAACAGAGCCUCCAGGAAAUAUGGGACUAUGUGUAAAGACCAAACCUAUGUUUGAUUGGUAUACCUGAAAGUGACAGGGAGAAUGUAACCAAGUUGGAAAACACUCUUCAGGAUAUUAUCCAGGAGAACUUCCCCGAUCUAGCAAGACAGGCCAACAUUCAAAUUCAGGAAAUACAGAGAACACCACAAAGACACUUCUCGAGAAGAGCAACCCCAAGACACAUAAUCAUCAGAUUCACCGAGGCUGAAAUGAAGGAAAAAGUGUUAAGGGCACCCAGAGAGAAAGGUCGGGUUACCCACAAAGGGAAGCCCAUCAGACUAACAGCAGAUCUCUCUGCAGAAACCCUAAAAGCCAGAAGAGAGUGGGGGCCAAUAUUCAACAUUCUUAAAAAAAAGAAUUUUCAACCCAGAAUUUCACAUCCAGCCAAAUUAAGCUUUGUAAGCGAAGGAGAAAUAAAAUCCUUUACAGACAAGCAAAUGCUGAGAGAUUUUUGUCUCACUACCAGGCCUGCCUUACAAGAGCUCCCGAAGGAAGCACUAAAUAUGGAAAGGAAAAACUGGUACUAGCCACUGCAAAAACAUACCAUUUAAAUAAAGACCAUCAACACUGUAAAGAAACUGCAUCAACUAAUGGGCAAAAUAACCAGCUAGCAUCAUAAUGACAGGAUCAAAUUCACACAUAACAAUAACAACUUUAAAUGUAAAUGGGCUCAAUGCCCCAAUUAAAAGACACAGACUGGCAAAUUGGAUAAAGAGUCAAGACCAUCAGUGUGCUGUAUUCAGGAGACCCGUCUCAUGUGCAAAGACACACGUGGGCUUGAAAUAAAGGGAUGGAGGAAUAUUUACCAAGCAAAUGGAAAUCAAAAAAUAAAAACAAUUAAAAAAAGGAGGAGUUACAAUCCUAGUCUUUGAUAAAACAGACUUUAAACCAACAAAGAUAAAAAAGACAAAGAAGGGCAUUACAUAAUGGUAAAGGGAAUAAUGCAACAAAAAGAGCUGACUAUCAUAAAUACAUAUGCACCCAAUACAGGAGCACUCAGAUUCAUAAAGCAAGUUCUUAGAGACCUACAUAGAGACUUAGAUUCCCACACAAUAAUAGUGGGAGACUUUAACACCCUUCCAUCAAUAUUAGAUCAAUGAGACAGAAAAUUAACAAGGAUAUUCAGGACUUGAACUCAGCUCUGGACUAAGCAGACCUAAUAGACAUCUACAGAACUCUUCACCCCAAAUCAAGAGAAUAUACAUUCUUCUCAGCACUACAUGGCACUUAUUCUAAAACUGACCACAUAAUUGAAAGUAAAACACUCCUCAGCAAAUGCGAAAGAAUGGAAAUCAUAACAAACAGUUUCUCAGACCACAGUGCAAUCAAAUUAGAACUCAGGAUUAAGAAACUCACUCAAAACCACACAACUACAUGGAAACUGAACAACCUGCUCCUGAAUGACUACUGGAUAAAUAACAAAAUUAAGACAGAAAUAAAUAAGUUAUUUGCAACCGAUGAGAGCAAAGACACAACAUACCAGAAUCUCUGGGACACAGCUAGAGGGAAAUUUAUAGCACUAAAUGCCCACAAGAGAAAGCAGGAAAGAUCUAAAAUCGACACCCUAACAUCACAAUUAAAAGAACUAGAGAAGCAAGAUCAAACAAAUGCAAAAGCUAGCAGAAGACAAAAAAAUAACUAGGAUCAGAGCAGAAAUGAAGGAGAUAGAGACACAAAAUCCCUUCAAAAAAUCAAUGAAUCCAGGAGCUGGUUUUUUGAAAAGCUUAACAAAAUAGAUAGACCACUAGCCAGACUAAUAAAGAAGAAAAGAGAGAAGAAUCAAAUAGACACAAUAAAAAAUGAUAAAGGGGAUAUCACCACUGAUCCACAGAAAUACAAACUACCGUCAGAGAAUAAACACCUCCACGCAAAUAAACUAGAAAAUCUAGAAGAAAUGGAUAAAUUCCUGGACACAUACAUGCUCCAAAGACUAAGCCAGGAAGAAGUCGAAUCUCUGAAUAGACCAAUAACAAGUUCUGAAAUUGAGGCAGUAAUUAAUGGCCUACCAACCAAAAAAAGCCCAGGACCAGAUUCACAGUCGAAUUCUACCAGAGGUACAAAGAGGAGCUGGUACCAUUCCUUCUGAAAUUAUUCCAAACAAUACAAAAAGAGGGCCUCCUCCCUAACUCAUUUUAUGAGGCCAGCAUCAUCCUGAUACCAAAACCUGGCAGAGACACAACAAAAAAAGAAAAUUUCAGGCCAAUAUCUCUGAUGAAUAUCUAUGUGAAAAUCCUCAAAAAAAUACUGGCAAACUGAAUCCAGCAGCACAUCAAAAAGCUCACCCACCACCAUCAGGUCGGCUUCAACCCUGGGGUACAAGGCUGGUUCAACAUACACAAAUCAAUAAACACAAUCAAUCACAUAAACAGAACCAAGAACAAUAACCACAUGAUUAUCUCAGUAGAUGCAGAAAAGGCCUUUGAUAAAAUUCAACACCUCUUCAUGCUAAAAACUCUCAAUAAACUAGGUAUUGAUGGAACAUAUCUCAAAAUAAUAAGAGCUAUUUAUGACAAACCCACAGCCAAUAUCAUACUGAAUGGGCAAAAGCUGGAAGCAUUCCCUUUGAAAACCAGCACAAGACAAGGAUGCCCUCUCUCACCACUCCUAUUCAACAUAGUAUUAGAACUUCUGGCCAGGGCAAUCAGGCAAGUGAGAGAAAUGAAGGGUAUCCAAAUAGGAAGAGAGGAAGUCAAAUUGUCUCUGUUUGCAGAUGACAUAAUUGUAUAUUUCGAAAAUCCCAUCAUCUCAGCCCCAAAUCUCCUUAAGCUGAUAAGGACUUCAGCAAAAUCUCAGGUUACAAAAUCGAUGUGCAAAAAUCACAAGCAUUCCUAUACAUCAAUAAUAGACGAACAGAGAGCCAAAUCCUGAGUGAACUCCCAUUCACAAUUGCUACAAAGAGAAUAAAAUACCCAGGAAUACAACUUACAAGGGAUGUGAAGGACCUCUUCAAGGAGAACUGCAAACCACUGCUCAAGGAAAUAAGAGAGGAUACAAACAAAUGGAAAAACAUUCCAUGCUGAUGGAUGGGAUGAAUCAAUAUUGUGAAAAUGGCCAUACUUCCCAAAGUAAUUUAUAGAUUCAGUGCUAUUCCCAUUAAGCUACCAUUGACUUUUUUCACAGAAUUAGAAAAAACUACUUUAAAUUUCAUAUGGAACAAAAAAAGAGCCCAUAUAGCCAAGACAAUCCUAAGCAAAAGAACAAAGCUGGAGGCAUCACGCUACCUGACUUCAAACUAUACUACAAGUCUACAGUAGCCAAAACAGCAUGGUAUUGGUACCAAAACAGACAUAUAAACCAAUGGAACAGGACAGAGGCCUCAAAAAUAACGCCACACAUCUACAGCCAUCUGAUCUUUGACAAACCUGACAAAAACAAGCAAUGAGGAAAGGAUUCCCUAUUUAAUAAAUGGUGUUGGGAAAACUGGCUAGUCAUAUGCAGAAAACUGAAAUUGGACCCCUUCCUUACACCUUAUACAAAAAUUAACUUAAGAUGGAUUAAAUACUUAAACAUAAGUCCUAAAACCAUAAAAACCCUAGAAGAAAACCUAGGCAAUACCAUUCAGGACAUAGGCAUGGGCAAAGACUUCAUGACUAAAACACCAAAAGCAAUGGUAACAAAAGCCAAAAUUGACAAAUGAUAUCUAAUUAAACUAAAGAGCUUCUGCACAGCAAAAGUAACUACCAUCAGAGUGAACAAACUACCUACAGAAUGGGGGAAAAUUUUUGCAAUCUAUCAAUCUGACAAAUGGCUAAUAUCCAGAAUCUACAAAGAACUUAAACACAUUUACAAGAAAAAAGUGGGCAAAGGAUAUGAACAGACACUUCUCAAAAGAAGACAUAUAUGCAGCCAAAAAACAUAUGAAAAAAAGCUCAUCAUCACUGGUCAUUAGAGAAAUGCAAAUCAAAACCACAAUGAGAUACCAUCUCACGCCAGUUAGAAUGGAGAUCAUGAAAAAGUCAGGAAACAACAGAUGCUGGAGAGGAUGUGGAAAAAUAGAAACCCUUUUACAUUGUUGGUGAGAGUAUAAAUUAGUUCAGCCACUGGGGAAGACAGUGUGGUGAUUCCUCAAGGAUCUAGAACCAGAAAUACCAUUUGACCCAGCCAUCUCAUUACUGGGUAUAUACCUAAAGGAUUACAAAUCAUUCUACUAUAAAGACACAUGCACACGUAUGUUUAUUGCAGCACUGUUCACAAUAACAAAGACUUGGAACCAACCCAAAUGCCCAUCAAUGAUAGACUGGAUUAAGAAAAUGUGGCACAUAUACACCAUGGAAUAUUAUGCAGCCAUAAAAAAGGAUGAGCUCAUGUCAUUUGCAGGGACAUGGAUGAAGCUGGAAACCAUCAUUCUCAGCAAACUAACACAGGAACAGAAAACCAAAAACCAUGUGUUCUCACUCAUAAGUGGGAGUUGAACAAUGAGAACACAUGGACACAGGGAGGGAACACCACAUACCGGGGCCUGUUGGGGUGUAGGGGGAUAGGGGAGGGAUAGCAUUAGGAGAAAUACUUAAUGUAGAUGACAGGUUGAUGGGUGCAGCAAACCACCAUGGAUCAUGUAUACCUAUGUAACAAACCUGCACGUUCUGCCCAUGUAUCCCAGAACUUAAAAUAUAAAUAAAUAACAAAAAAGAAUGAAAGUUUGACACCUUUUGUAAUACAGAUAAGCCUUGCAGAUAUUAUUAUAGGUGAAAUAAAGCAGACAUGAAAAGAACUAUCCUAUGAUGCUUAUUUCUGAGAGAUACCUAAAGUAGUCAAAUUCACAGAGACAAAAAGUAGCAUGGUGGUUGCCAGGGGCUGGAAGAAGGGGGAAUGGGAAUUAUUGUUUAAUGAGUAAGAAGUUCAGUUUAGAAAGAUCAAAAAGUUCUGGAGAUAGAUGGUGGUGAUGAUUU
This is a long non-coding RNA of Gorilla gorilla gorilla (western lowland gorilla), 9417 nucleotides long. RefSeq lists it as uncharacterized. The record is from RefSeq and is a predicted model, not a curated record. The transcript has 5 exons. NCBI's taxonomy places the organism in Eukaryota, Metazoa, Chordata, Mammalia, Primates, Hominidae.